AGAGAAUCAAUAAUAACAAAAAAAAUACAUUAAAAAUAUUUACAUAUAUAGUAUAAGAACACUAAUUCAAACCUAAAUCUCUAACAUUUUUUUAGCAAUCAAAAUCAUGGUUGAAUCUAAGUUUCGCAUUCCCGUCUAGAUCGCUCUUGAUCCAAAUAAAAAUGCUUUUAUCUAUAUGAUAGUAGGAUUUUACUCAAUUAAUCCUAAAACACUAUCUUGUCGUUGUAGUAUUUUAGGAUGUCAAUCCAAUGUGAUGCAAACAGAUGAGAUAUGAUCAGAAAGCUCUAAGUCAAGCCAAGUAGAAAGUUGGUUGGUUCUAACAGUCCUAGUAUGCAAUAACAGAAAUGAAAUGAAACUAAAAGCAGAAAUGGCAAUAGCAGGCAAGUGAAUGACAAAGCAGAAAUGAUAACAGGCAAUCAAAUGGAUAAAUGAUUCCUAAGGAUAGGGUAAUCGAACAGUGUGGUCUUCUUAAUCUAUUCAGGCGGUUGACAAAACUUCACAGAAGCUAUCCCUAGACAACAAGUUCAACAACAAAUUAAUUCACGCUCGUGAUAGAAAUCGUCAAGCAAAGCUAGACACUGACCUAAAUCCCUUUAGCGAUCUCUAACUAAGCAGGCAUUAUCGAAUCAACAUGUUAAAGUCAAUACCCUCUCUACAGCCAAUCCCUUGGAGUAGAAUCAGAUAUCUCUGGAAUUAAUAGGAUCCAACGCCCAUUAAACGCCUUCUGAGCGCUAGACGUCUAGACUCAUAUUCCACAUUAGCCAGUGAAACAAGCAAUAAGCGCAACUAAUACAGAAGGGAUUCUAGUAUUCUAAACUCAACCACCUAAAACGACCAAGUAAACCACAACUAAUCUAUCCCAUCCUCAGAAAUACAGUUCACUACUCAGACAUAAUCAAAGACAAUAGCAAAGCAACGAUUGAAAACAUGAUAACAGAAAUGAUGAAAGACUUAAACGAAAACUGAAUAUCAAAUACUUGAAAGUGAAAAUACAAAGUCGCAGGAGAAACAUUGCGACUAUCAAAGUUGCGAAAAUGUAAAAGCGAGAUAAAUAACGGAUAAUAGCGGAUGCCCUAGGGAAAACCCUAAGAGGCAGUUUAUAUAGCGAGAAAUGAAACAAAAUAGGAAACUAAAUAUAUAGCGAAUCUUCACGUCAUGAUCCUGCGACCGAAUAUGUCAUUGGCAUCUGACGGGCUGAAAUGAGCUUCCUAGUGAUCGAGUAUGUCAUUGAUCAAACUGGGCUUCAGGGGCUCGGUCUUGCGAUCGAGUGAGAUGUAGUGAAGUCGAGAUUGAAUGGUCCAGCGACCCUGUGAUCGAGUGGAUGUCAUGAGGUGGUGAUCGAGUGGUUUCUUCGGCUUCUCUUCUCUUCUUUGUUCUCAGCUUGUCUGGUUGAGUGCAGAAUGAGCAGAUAGGCUUCCUGGUGAUCGAGUGGUGAUCGAGUGGUUCCGAUGGGGUGAUUCCUCCGGCUUCGCGAUUGAGUGAAACUGAGCUGCUUGCUUCUCCGGGGUUGCGAUAGAGUGAUUUGCCCUGCCAGGGCUCCGAGGCUGCGAUAGAGUACUUUUGCUGAAGGCGUCAUUGGGCAUUUUGACUUCAUGUUCUGUUUUUCCUCUGUUUGAACUCCAAAAGCAUCCAAAGUACCUGAAAACAACCAAAUAUGUCAUGCACAUGCAAUCCUAAUGCAAAAUCGUCCUAAGUAUGUAAAACACACUAAAACGACUCCUAAUGAGAUAAAAUGUGGAUGAAACAAUGACAAAGUGGUGAAGAAUAAAUGCCUAAAUCAUGCAAAUUAUAGACAUAUCGCUAUAUCAACAAAUUAAAAUCACUCCUACAACUAAUAAUAACUUGGCGUGUACAAGUUUGUGCAUUCCUGAAAAUGCAAGAGCUUCAAU
RNAcentral lists this small RNA (1889 nucleotides) under Arabidopsis thaliana (thale cress). Its description in RNAcentral is "ATSL256560". The record is from RNAcentral. Lineage: Eukaryota; Viridiplantae; Streptophyta; Magnoliopsida; Brassicales; Brassicaceae.